AUACGGAGGAUCCAAGCGUUAUCCGGAUUCAUUGGGUUUAAAGGGUGCGUAGGCGGAUUUGUAAGUCAGCGGUGAAAUCCUACAGCUUAACUGUAGAACUGCCGUUGAUACUGCAAGUCUUGAGUACAUUUGAUGUGGGCGGAAUGUGUCAUGUAGCGGUGAAAUGCUUAGAUAUGACACGGAACACCAAUUGCGAAGGCAGCUCACAAAACUGUAACUGACGCUGAGGCACGACAGCGUGGGGAUC
Molecule: ribosomal RNA, 247 nt
Filed under: uncultured bacterium
Lineage: Bacteria
Description: partial 16S ribosomal RNA
Rfam family: Bacterial small subunit ribosomal RNA
Source: RNAcentral